This 1344-nucleotide ribosomal RNA is filed under the name uncultured bacterium. RNAcentral describes it as "bacterial SSU rRNA". It matches the Rfam family "Bacterial small subunit ribosomal RNA", at positions 27 to 1344 of the family's 1533-position model. The record is from RNAcentral.
GGAUUAACGCUGGCGGCAUGCCUAAUACAUGCAAGUCGAACGGAAAAUAUAUAGAUGCUUGCAUUUAGAUAUUUUUAGUGGCGAACGGGUGAGUAAUAUAUAGAUAACCUACCUUUAAGUUGGGGAUAACAGAGAGAAACUUUUGCUAAUACCGAAUAAAAUAAUUAGACGCAUGUUUAAUUAUUAAAAGGGGCUCCAAAGCCCCGCUCGAAGAGGGGUCUAUAUCGCAUUAGCUAGUUGGUAAGAUAACAGCCUACCAAGGCGAUGAUGCGUAGCUGUACUGAGAGGUAGAACAGCCACAUUGGGACUGAGAUACGGCCCAAACUCCUACGGGAGGCAGCAGUAGGGAAUUUUCGGCAAUGGGGGGAACCCUGACCGAGCAAUGCCGCGUGAUUGAAGAAGAUCUUCGGAUCGUAAAGAUCUGUUAUUAAGGAAGAAUAUUCAGAAGAGGAAAUGCUUUUGAGUUGACGGUGCCUAAUGAGGAAGCCCCGGCUAACUAUGUGCCAGCAGCCGCGGUAAUACAUAAAAAGCGAACGUUAUCCGGAAUUAUUGGGCGUAAAGGGUACGUAGGCGGGCCUGCAAGUCUGAUUUGAAAGCACACGGCUUAACCGUAUGAGGUAAUUAGAAACUACGGGUCUAGAGAGUGGUAGAGGUAAAUGGAAUUCCAAGUGGAGCAGUGAAAUGCGUAGAGAUUUGGAGGAACACCAGUGGCGAAGGCGGUUUACUGGGCCACAUCUGACGCUGAUGUACGAAAGCGUGGGGAGCAAACAGGAUUAGAUACCCUGGUAGUCCACGCCGUAAACGAUGAGUGCUAAGUAUCGGUAGAAUCGGUGCUCAAGCUAACGCAGUAAGCACUCCGCCUGGGGAGUACGGUCGCAAGACUGAAACUCAAAGGAAUUGACGGGGACUCGCACAAGCGGUGGAGCAUGCGGUUUAAUUCGAUGCAACGCGAAGAACCUUACCAGGUCUUGACAGUGUAAAGAAUACUUAAGAGAUUAAGGGCUAAGAAUUAAGCUUGCUUAUUUCACUUUAUAAACAGGUGGUGCAUGGUUGUCGUCAGCUCGUGUCGUGAGAUGUUGGGUUAAGUCCCGCAACGAGCGCAACCCUUAUUGCUAGUUGCCAUCAUUAAGUUGGGCACUCUAGCAAGACUGCCGGUGACAAAUCGGAUGAAGGUGAAAAUGACGUCAAAUCAUCAUGCCCCUUAUGACCUGGGCUACACGCGUGCUACAAUGGCUAAUACAAAGAGUUGCAAAACCGUGAGGUAGAGCUAAUCUCAUAAAGUUAGUCUCAGUUCGGAUUGUAGUCUGCAACUCGACUACAUGAAGUUGGAAUCGCUAGUAAUCG